GUCUAGAGUAGUACUGAAGCAUACAAGAAAAGGAAACGAAAGUCACAUCCAACUACCCCAUGUAAGUCCAACUUCUAUUGGCUAUUUGUCUUGCAAUCAAAGAAACAAAGGAAAGUUUAUUGCUUGUGAAGAUGAACAUAUUGCAUAUGCUUAUAAAAAAGUGUCAUAAUUAGCAGAAAACACUAUAAAUUCCCAAGUCCGAACAAGACAGCAAACGAAUAAAGCUGCCACGUGCCACUUCUAGUGUAUCUAUCGAGAACAUACCGAAUGUGACAUUUGCGAGUAUAAUUCUUUCUUGAGGUGGAUUUUCUUUUUGUUUACAGAUCGUUCCUUUCUUUUCAUAUAUUCCUUGCUUCCUCAGCAAACCUAGAUCAGAUCACUGACCUCUUCCUUUCCUUCCUUCCCAACAUUAUAAGAGUGGCAGAGGUGUAGCUAUAGUUUGUGAAUCAAAUCAAAAAAUGGCAGACUGGGGGCCUGUGGUGAUAGCAGUUGUACUGUUUGUGCUGUUAAGUCCUGGAUUACUAUUCCAGUUGCCUGGAAAGGGGAGAAUUGUUGAGUUUGGGAAUAUGCAGACAAGUGGGAUUUCUAUACUGGUUCAUACCAUCAUCUUCUUUGCUCUUAUUACCAUCUUCCUUAUUGCCAUUGGUGUUCAUAUUUACACUGGAUAGCCAUGUUAAAUUGUAGCUCAUUCACUUUUCAAAGCUUGUUUAAUUUGUUGAUCUGUCUGAUGUAUUCUCUUGUAUUUAGUACUGCCCUUUUCUUAAUUGUAUUAGCUGCUGGUGUAUAAAUGGUCUUAGAACUCUGCCAUCUUCUGUAAGAGAGUAAAAUUCUGAAGGAAUGAUCUUUCAGAAGCAUAUAGCUCUGUAUAUGGAGGAUGGUUUUAUCAAUUAUUGCUUGUGCUUUGAUGGCAAUAAUGUUUUCUUUAUCAUUAUUUGGUUACUUUCAAUCCUGCACUCCAAAUUGGCAAAAUGCUACUUGGUAAGAUAGAGAAAUCAACCAAAUCAGAUUAGAUCUAAUUCUGAUGUUGUGUUCAAUGGCCGGUGAAACACUGGAAAAAAAGAGUAAAAUCCAGCUCACAGAGUUUAUGGCUCUGGGUAGGUUGGAAUUGCUAAAUUUUCAUAUAGACACCUGUGAUUUGGUGGCAUUAAGAUAUUGGACCAGCAUUUGCUUGUUUGCAGUGCGUAACAAGUUUACAGUGCCACGCGGCAUCUGUUUUCUUCCUUAGAAGGCAUUUCAUUUCUUAA
This 1244-nucleotide unclassified non-coding RNA is filed under the name Hevea brasiliensis (rubber tree). The record is from RNAcentral. Lineage: Eukaryota; Viridiplantae; Streptophyta; Magnoliopsida; Malpighiales; Euphorbiaceae.